UGGGGAAUAUUGCGCAAUGGGCGAAAGCCUGACGCAGCGACGCCGCGUGAGGGAUGAAGGUUUUCGGAUCGUAAACCUCUGUCAGAAGGGAAGAAACCGCACUGUGCUAAUCAGCAGUGCCUUGACGGUACCUUCAAAGGAAGCACCGGCUAACUCCGUGCCAGCAGCCGCGGUAAUACGGAGGGUGCAAGCGUUAAUCGGAAUUACUGGGCGUAAAGCGCACGUAGGCUGCUUUGUAAGUCAGGGGUGAAAUCCCACGGCUCAACCGUGGAACUGCCUUUGAUACUGCUUAGCUCGAAUCCGGGAGAGGGUGGCGGAAUUCCAGGUGUAGGAGUGAAAUCCGUAGAUAUCUGGAGGAACAUCAGUGGCGAAGGCGGCCACCUGGACCGGUAUUGACGCUGAGGUGCGAAAGCGUGGGGAGCAAACAGG
This 429-nucleotide ribosomal RNA is filed under the name Fusobacteriota bacterium. RNAcentral describes it as "Fusobacteria bacterium partial 16S ribosomal RNA". It matches the Rfam family "Bacterial small subunit ribosomal RNA", at positions 355 to 776 of the family's 1533-position model. Lineage: Bacteria; Fusobacteriati; Fusobacteriota. The record is from RNAcentral.